This 272-nucleotide long non-coding RNA is filed under the name Monodelphis domestica (gray short-tailed opossum). Its description in RNAcentral is "lncRNA (ENSMODG00000034029.2)". The record is from RNAcentral. Lineage: Eukaryota; Metazoa; Chordata; Mammalia; Didelphimorphia; Didelphidae.
UCUAAGAUUUGACCAUUUCAAGGGGACAUGACUUACACAAGCUUGUCUCUUGGAAUAACUGAAUUUUUCAAGAUUUAGCUCAAGCUCCAUCUUCCUCAAGGUAUGCAUCUGGAAGAUGGAGGACUAUAGUAUAUAUAGAUUCAUGAGCAAACCUCUUCAAUUCAUCUAGGAAUGUCGUCUCUAAAAAAAAUCCAUAAGGAGACUACUGAUACCUAAUGGGAGGAACAGAGAAAUGAGAACUGAAAUAUUACCUUUAAAAUUAACUCAUUAAA